UAGCCCCUGCGGUGUUCGAUUCAGUGUAGGAAAUUUGGAGCCAACACCUCUUAUAAGAGGGAUGAUACUGGCUGUGGUGAGCAGGCCCACCUUUGAGUGGGAAGCCUAAAGCAGCCGUGAUUCCCUCAACCUGGUUAGCCAGGGCUGCAAAUGGACUACACGGUCGGCACUCGCGGGGGCUUU
Deferribacter desulfuricans SSM1 is the source of this 183-nucleotide non-coding RNA. It matches the Rfam family "6S / SsrS RNA". From Rfam's summary of the family: E. coli 6S RNA was the first non coding RNA to be sequenced, but its function was unknown until recently. It consists of 184 nucleotides that fold into an extended hairpin structure with a large single-stranded internal bulge. Lineage: Bacteria; Pseudomonadati; Deferribacterota; Deferribacteres; Deferribacterales; Deferribacteraceae. The record is from Rfam.